This 621-nucleotide ribosomal RNA is filed under the name uncultured yard-trimming-compost bacterium. Its description in RNAcentral is "bacterial SSU rRNA". It matches the Rfam family "Bacterial small subunit ribosomal RNA", at positions 37 to 652 of the family's 1533-position model. The record is from RNAcentral.
UGGCGGCAUGCCUUACACAUGCAAGUCGAACGGCAGCACGGGNAGCAAUCCUGGUGGCGAGUGGCGAACGGGUGAGUAAUAUAUCGGAACGUGCCCAGUCGUGGGGGAUAACGUAGCGAAAGCUACGCUAAUACCGCAUACGAUCCAUGGAUGAAAGCGGGGGAUCGCAAGACCUCGCGCGGUUGGAGCGGCCGAUAUCAGAUUAGGUAGUUGGUGGGGUAAAAGCUUACCAAGCCUACGAUCUGUAGCUGGUCUGAGAGGACGACCAGCCACACUGGGACUGAGACACGGCCCAGACUCCUACGGGAGGCAGCAGUGGGGAAUUUUGGACAAUGGGCGCAAGCCUGAUCCAGCAAUGCCGCGUGCAGGAUGAAGGCCUUCGGGUUGUAAACUGCUUUUGUACGGAGCGAAACGGCCUCUUCUAAUAUAGGAGGUUAAUGACGGUACCGUAAGAAUAAGCACCGGCUAACUACGUGCCAGCAGCCGCGGUAAUACGUAGGGUGCGAGCGUUAAUCGGAAUUACUGGGCGUAAAGCGUGCGCAGGCGGUCUUGUAAGACAGGUGUGAAAUCCCCGGGCUUAACCUGGGACCUGCAUUUGUGACUGCAAGGCUGGAGUACGGC